GGGAAUAUGGCUCAGUGGUAGAGUGUUUGUCUUUCAUGCAUAAGGCCCUGGGUUCAAUUCCUCAGCACCA
This 70-nucleotide transfer RNA is filed under the name Dipodomys ordii (Ord's kangaroo rat). It matches the Rfam family "tRNA". From Rfam's summary of the family: Transfer RNA (tRNA) molecules are approximately 80 nucleotides in length. Their secondary structure includes four short double-helical elements and three loops (D, anti-codon, and T loops). Further hydrogen bonds mediate the characteristic L-shaped molecular structure. tRNAs have two regions of fundamental functional importance: the anti-codon, which is responsible for specific mRNA codon recognition, and the 3' end, to which the tRNAs corresponding amino acid is attached (by aminoacyl-tRNA synthetases). tRNAs cope with the degeneracy of the genetic code in two manners: having more than one tRNA (with a specific anti-codon) for a particular amino acid; and 'wobble' base-pairing, i.e. permitting non-standard base-pairing at the 3rd anti-codon position. Lineage: Eukaryota; Metazoa; Chordata; Mammalia; Rodentia; Heteromyidae. The record is from Rfam by way of RNAcentral.